UGUCACCCUCCGCACAGCUUUGCCUUGUCUUCCCCGUCUCCUUACAUUCCCCUUCUGAAACACUAACACUGGUCCUAAAACUUUGGUGUGAAUCAGACUCACUCCUGGGGCAUUUAUUUAAAUACACACGCCUGACUGCAACUCUAUACGAUUCGGCAGAUCUGCGUUGGGUCCCAGACACUUUGGAGUUUUUGUUGUUUGCUUUUUUCCUGUGCUGGAGGACAUCCCGUCUGUCAGAUUCCUCUGAGUGUUCUAACAGCAUUUUUGAGAUGUACCCCACCGAUUGGAUCAAUUUUACCCAAAUCUGGUAAUUUUCCCUAAGCUUUUUCGGUUAUUUCAAGAGCUUCAAUGGCUCCUCCCAGAGUCUCCUUAUUGUCAAAUCCCAACGAUUCUUCAAGAUGAAAUGCCAGCUUUCCCCGCAGGAAGUCUGUCCUGCUCGCCUUUGCGCUUCAUUGCUGUUUAGCUGCACUUUUCUUGUGGCACCUUUUGCUUAUUUAACAAAUGUCCGAGCCGGCCGCCAGCCAAACGGAUUCCCCCUGUAGAGAGAGGAACAUCUUCACCAGUGAGUCUGCCCAGUCCCUACCCUUCAGCCAGAAUCCGGGACCAGCGCAACGAAUACUAUGGGUUCGCGGAAAUGAAUCAACUGUUCCCCCUAAAAGUCCAGGGCACCCGCACACUAUCAUUGGCCCAGAUGCCCUUCCCCAGCUGUGCAACGACAAGGCACUGGCAAAACUCCGCCUAAAACUGGUCCGGAGGUCCGAGAGCAGGGGAAUCCUGGCUGGGAAACAGGUCAGAGUGUGGAACACCACCGGCCUGGAACAAGCGACGCAGGAGGUGCGUCUGCGAUCCCGCCAGCUCCACCCCCGAGGUUCGCCUUGGCCUUCGAUUGGCUGCUCCACAAGCCCAAGCCCGCCUCACGUUCUCCACGUGACCCACUAGCCUCCGUGGGAUUGGCUAUCCGGCAAGUGCCGCGCUGGACUAUGGGAUGCUGGCCAGGCAGCGAGGCGGAGGGGAGGAGACGCGGCACGGUAGUGUGGACCGGAGUAAAGCCCCUGGCUCGAGACCUGGGCUAUUAUCAUCCAUUCUCUGCUGCCGGGCCAGGCCUAGUGAGAGGUUCUGGCGCAUAGGAAUUUUAGGAAGUAGCAGAGCGGGCUGUGGGUCUCUGCCGAGGUGUUUAGUUUGAGCCCUGGCUCCGGCCUUACUCGCCGCAAGGACGCCUUCAGUCUUUGCUGAAAUUGGUAGGGUUGGGCCUUAUUUUUAUUUUUAUUUUAUUUAAGGGUCCACUGUAUCUAGGCAUUUGUUGUCCUGCGCGGGGAAUGUGUGCAGAGCACCGUGGGGUAGAGGCUGUGGGGAGGAGGGCUUGGAGAUGCUAGCGGUGUGGUCCUUAGCCGCGUGAAGUGUUAGAGAGCUCAGCUGCUGAGUGAACCCACACCACCAGCUGUCAGAGGAUUAUCAGUCUUUUGGCCCUUGUAAGUGUGUGGAGGCCCCAGAGUUGUCACUUAUUGAGAUUCAGGAUCACGGUGAAGGCUGUGGUGAGAAGUCUGGCUCUAAAAUCUUCGUGGAGAACUACAUCAUUUCAAUCCUGAAUCUGGUUCAGUUUCCCUAUUGACUUACUGUUGUAUUAAAAAUGUAUUGCUAAAUUAA
Molecule: non-coding RNA, 1644 nt
Organism: Oryctolagus cuniculus (rabbit)
Lineage: Eukaryota; Metazoa; Chordata; Mammalia; Lagomorpha; Leporidae
Source: RefSeq, a predicted model, not a curated record